This 236-nucleotide ribosomal RNA is filed under the name uncultured Actinomycetales bacterium. RNAcentral describes it as "partial 16S ribosomal RNA". It matches the Rfam family "Bacterial small subunit ribosomal RNA", at positions 97 to 334 of the family's 1533-position model. Lineage: Bacteria; Bacillati; Actinomycetota; Actinomycetes; Actinomycetales. The record is from RNAcentral.
GGCGAACGGGUGAGUAACACGUGAGUAACCUGCCCUUGACUUUGGGAUAACUUCAGGAAACUGGGGCUAAUACCGGAUAGGAGCUCCUGCUGCAUGGUGGGGGUUGGAAAGUUUCGGCGGUUGGGGAUGGACUCGCAGCUUAUCAGCUUGUUGGUGGGGUAGUGGCUUACCAAGGCUUUGACGGGUAGCCGGCCUGAGAGGGUGACCGGCCACAGUGGGACUGAGAUACGGCCCAG